RNAcentral lists this non-coding RNA (192 nucleotides) under Heyndrickxia sporothermodurans. RNAcentral's name for it is "Bacillus sporothermodurans Lysine sequence". It matches the Rfam family "Lysine riboswitch aptamer". From Rfam's summary of the family: Riboswitches are metabolite binding domains within certain messenger RNAs that serve as precision sensors for their corresponding targets. Allosteric rearrangement of mRNA structure is mediated by ligand binding, and this results in modulation of gene expression. This family includes riboswitches that sense lysine in a number of genes involved in lysine metabolism, including lysC. Lineage: Bacteria; Bacillati; Bacillota; Bacilli; Caryophanales; Bacillaceae. The record is from Rfam by way of RNAcentral.
CGAUGGGGUAGAGGUCGCGGCUAUUAAGAGUAGGACGGACGAGAAACAAAAGAUUUCGAUGACUCCGCUUGAAAGGAAUAGCUGCCGAAGCCGAUACUUCUCUUUUGGAUAUAUCGGCUGGGGCUGUCUCCGAAUAGGAACAGAACUGUCACGUUUAUUGAUUCCAACUAAACGUGUUGAGCUAUCUUCGGA